Molecule: ribosomal RNA, 657 nt
Filed under: Rhodotorula glutinis
Lineage: Eukaryota; Fungi; Basidiomycota; Microbotryomycetes; Sporidiobolales; Sporidiobolaceae
Description: eukaryotic LSU rRNA
Rfam family: Eukaryotic large subunit ribosomal RNA
Source: RNAcentral
UAGAUCUCAAAUCAGGUAGGACUACCCGCUGAACUUAAGCAUAUCAAUAAGCGGAGGAAAAGAAACUAACAAGGAUUCCCCUAGUAGCGGCGAGCGAAGCGGGAAGAGCUCAAAUUUAUAAUCUGGCACCUUCGGUGUCCGAGUUGUAAUCUCUAGAAGUGUUUUCCGCGUUGGACCGCACACAAGUCUGUUGGAAUACAGCGGCAUAGUGGUGAAACCCCCGUAUAUGGUGCGGACGCCCAGCGCUUUGUGAUACACUUUCAAUGAGUCGAGUUGUUUGGGAAUGCAGCUCAAAUUGGGUGGUAAAUUCCAUCUAAAGCUAAAUAUUGGCGAGAGACCGAUAGCGAACAAGUACCGUGAGGGAAAGAUGAAAAGCACUUUGGAAAGAGAGUUAACAGUACGUGAAAUUGUUGGAAGGGAAACGCUUGAAGUCAGACUUGCUUGCCGGAGCUUGCUUCGGUUUGCAGGCCAGCAUCAGUUUUCCGGGGUGGAUAAUGACGGUUUGAAGGUAGCAGUCUCGGCUGUGUUAUAGCUUUCCGUUGGAUACGCCCUGGGGGACUGAGGAACGCAGCGUGCUUUUUGCGAAAGACUCGUCUUUUUCACGCUUAGGAUGCUGGUGGAAUGGCUUUAAACGACCCGUCUUGAAACACGGACCAA